Molecule: ribosomal RNA, 225 nt
Filed under: uncultured Bacillus sp.
Lineage: Bacteria; Bacillati; Bacillota; Bacilli; Caryophanales; Bacillaceae
Description: partial 16S ribosomal RNA
Rfam family: Bacterial small subunit ribosomal RNA
Source: RNAcentral
GGGCGUAAAGCGGCGCGCAGGUGGUCUCUNUAAGUCUUCAUGUGAAAGCGCCCCGGCUCAAGCCGGGGAGGGUCAUUGGAAACUGGGAGACUUGAGUGCAGGAGAGAAGAGUGGAAUUCCACGUGUAGCGGUGAAAUGCGUAGAGAUGUGGAGGAACACCAGUGGCGAAGGCGACUCUUUGGCCUGUAACUGACACUGAGGCGCGAAAGCGUGGGGAGCAAACAG